RNAcentral lists this ribosomal RNA (120 nucleotides) under uncultured bacterium. RNAcentral's name for it is "partial 16S ribosomal RNA". It matches the Rfam family "Bacterial small subunit ribosomal RNA", at positions 28 to 159 of the family's 1533-position model. The record is from RNAcentral.
GAUAAACGUUGGCGGCGUGCCUAACGCAUGCAAGUCGCACGAGAGCUUCGGCUCUAGUGGCGGACGGGUGAGUAACACGUAGGAACCUGCCCGGAAGUGGGGGACAACUCUCCGAAAGGG